Molecule: ribosomal RNA, 601 nt
Filed under: Pseudoalteromonas spongiae
Lineage: Bacteria; Pseudomonadati; Pseudomonadota; Gammaproteobacteria; Alteromonadales; Pseudoalteromonadaceae
Description: bacterial SSU rRNA
Rfam family: Bacterial small subunit ribosomal RNA
Source: RNAcentral
UAGAAGAUGACGAGCGGCGGACGGGUGAGUAAUGCUUGGGAACAUGCCUUUAGGUGGGGGACAACCAUUGGAAACGAUGGCUAAUACCGCAUAAUGUCUACGGACCAAAGGGGGCUUCGGCUCUCGCCUUUAGAUUGGCCCAAGUGGGAUUAGCUAGUUGGUGAGGUAAUGGCUCACCAAGGCGACGAUCCCUAGCUGGUUUGAGAGGAUGAUCAGCCACACUGGAACUGAGACACGGUCCAGACUCCUACGGGAGGCAGCAGUGGGGAAUAUUGCACAAUGGGCGCAAGCCUGAUGCAGCCAUGCCGCGUGUGUGAAGAAGGCCUUCGGGUUGUAAAGCACUUUCAGUUGUGAGGAAAGGUUAGUAGUUAAUACCUGCUAGCUGUGACGUUAGCAACAGAAGAAGCACCGGCUAACUCCGUGCCAGCAGCCGCGGUAAUACGGAGGGUGCGAGCGUUAAUCGGAAUUACUGGGCGUAAAGCGUACGCAGGCGGUUUGUUAAGCGAGAUGUGAAAGCCCCGGGCUCAACCUGGGAACUGCAUUUCGAACUGGCAAACUAGAGUGUGAUAGAGGGUGGUAGAAUUUCAGGUGUAGCGGUGAA